UUUAAAGGUGCUUCGGCACCACUGAUGGAUGAGCCUGCGGCGCAUUAGCUAGUUGGUAGGGUAAAGGCCUACCAAGGCGACGAUGCGUAGCCGACCUGAGAGGGUGAACGGCCACCCUGGGACUGAGACACGGCCCAGACUCCUACGGGAGGCAGCAGUAGGGAAUCUUCGGCAAUGGGCGAAAGCCUGACCGAGCAACGCCGCGUGAAUGAUGAAGGCCUUCGGGUUGUAAAAUUCUGUUAUAAGGGAAGAAUGGCUCUAGUAGGAAAUGGCUAGAGUGUGACGGUACCUUAUGAGAAAGCCACGGCUAACUACGUGCCAGCAGCCGCGGUAAUACGUAGGUGGCGAGCGUUAUCCGGAAUUAUUGGGCGUAAAGAGCGCGCAGGUGGUUGAUUAAGUCUGAUGUGGAAGCCCACGGCUUAACCGUGGAGGGUCAUUGGAAACUGGUCAACUUGAGUGCAGAAGAGGGAAGUGGAAUUCCAUGUGUAGCGGUGAAAUGCGUAGAGAUAUGGAGGAACACCAGUGGCGAAGGCGGCUUCCUGGUCUGUAACUGACACUGAGGCGCGAAAGCGUGGGGAGCAAACAGGAUUAGAUACCCUGGUAGUCCACGCCGUAAACGAUAAAUGGUAAGUGUUGGGGGUCGAACCUCAGUGCUGAAGUUAACGCACUAAGCACUCCGCCUGGGGAGUACGGUCGCAAGACUGAAACUCAAAGGAAUAGACGGGGACCCGCACAAGCGGUGGAGCAUGUGGUUUAAUUUGAAGCAACGCGAAGAACCUUACCAGGUCUUGACAUACCAGUGACCGUCCUAGAGAUAGGAUUUUCCCUUCGGGGACAAUGGAUACAGGUGGUGCAUGGUUGUCGUCAGCUCGUGUCGUGAGAUGUUGGGUUAAGUCCCGCAACGAGCGCAACCCCCGUCGUUAGUUGCCAGCAUUCAGUUGGGGAGUCUAACGAGACUGCCAGUGACAAACUGGAGGAAGGUGGGGAGGACGUCAAAUCAUCAUGCCCCCUAUGACCUGGGCUACACACGUGCUACAAUGGUUGGUACAAAGAGAAGAGAAGCGGUGACGUGGAGCAAACCUCAUAAAGCCAAUCUCAGUUCGGAUUGUAGGCUGCAACUCGCCUACAUGAAGUUGGAAUCGCUAGUAAUCGCGAAUCAGCAUGUCGCGGUGAAAAAGUUCCCGGGUCUUGCACA
Molecule: ribosomal RNA, 1195 nt
Filed under: uncultured bacterium
Lineage: Bacteria
Description: bacterial SSU rRNA
Rfam family: Bacterial small subunit ribosomal RNA
Source: RNAcentral